Long non-coding RNA from Tachysurus fulvidraco (yellow catfish), 4973 nucleotides. RefSeq lists it as uncharacterized. The record is from RefSeq and is a predicted model, not a curated record. NCBI's taxonomy places the organism in Eukaryota, Metazoa, Chordata, Actinopteri, Siluriformes, Bagridae. The transcript is spliced from 27 exons.
UGAACGUAACGCGCUUGAAGCGCUGAGACUGCGGCAAACGGCUUUUCAGCUCCUGAAAAGCACUUUUGUACAUGCAUGCAAGGAUUCAGUCAAAACACAUGCUGAUACCUAAGAUUGCAUGAAAAUGAUCAUACCACACACAGAUCAUCGAGUGUUUCAAGAAGAAGCAUGAAAGUAACACACGGUAGAGCACUGAGUCUGCGGCAAACGGCUUUUCAUCUCCUGAAAAGCACUUUUGUACAUGCAUGCAGGGAUUCAGUCAAAACACAUGCUGAUACCUAAGAUUGCAUGAAAAUGAUCAUACCACACACAGAUCAUCAGAUUAUCGAGUGUUUCAAGAAGAAGCAUGAAAGUAACACACGGUAGAGCACUGAGUCUGCGGCAAACGGCUUUUCAUCUCCUGAAAAGCACUUUUGUACAUGCAUGCAGGGAUUCAGUCAAAACACAUGCUGAUACCUAAGAUUGCAUGAAAAUGAUCAUACCACACACAGAUUAUCGAGUGGUUACGAGAAAAAGCAUGAACGUAACGCGCUUGGAGCGCUGAGACUACGGCAAACGGCUUUUCAGCUCCUGAGAAGCACUUUUGUACAUGCAUGCAAGGAUUCAGUCAAAACACAUGCUGAUACCUAAGAUUGCAUGAAAAUGAUCAUACCACACACAGAUCAUCGAGUGUUUCAAGAAGAAGCAUGAAAGUGACACGCUAAAGCGCUGAGACUGCGGCAAACGGCUUUUCAGCUCCUGAGAAGCACUUUUGUACAUGCAUGCAAGGAUUCAGUCAAAACACAUGCUGAUACCUAAGAUUGCAUGAAAAUGAUCAUACCACACACAGAUCAUCAGAUUAUCGAGUGGUUACGAGAAAAAGCAUGAACGUAACGCGCUUGGAGCGCUGAGACUACGGCAAACGGCUUUUCAGCUCCUGAGAAGCACUUUUGUACAUGCAUGCAAGGAUUCAGUCAAAACACUUGCUGAUACCUAAGAUUGCAUGAAAAUGAUCAUACCACACACAGAUUAUCGAGUGUUUCAAGAAGAAGCAUGAAAGUAACACACGGUAGAGCACUGAGUCUGCGGCAAACGGCUUUUCAUCUCCUGAAAAGCACUUUUGUACAUGCAUGCAGGGAUUCAGUCAAAACACAUGCUGAUACCUAAGAUUGCAUGAAAAUGAUCAUACCACACACAGAUUAUCGAGUGUUUCAAGAAGAAGCAUGAAAGUAACACACGGUAGAGCACUGAGUCUGCGGCAAACGGCUUUUCAUCUCCUGAAAAGCACUUUUGUACAUGCAUGCAGGGAUUCAGUCAAAACACAUGCUGAUACCUAAGAUUGCAUGAAAAUGAUCAUACCACACACAGAUCAUCGAGUGUUUCAAGAAGAAGCAUGAAAGUAACACACGGUAGAGCACUGAGUCUGCGGCAAACGGCUUUUCAUCUCCUGAAAAGCACUUUUGUACAUGCAUGCAGGGAUUCAGUCAAAACACAUGCUGAUACCUAAGAUUGCAUGAAAAUGAUCAUACCACACACAGAUCAUCGAGUGUUUCAAGAAGAAGCAUGAAAGUAACACACGGUAGAGCACUGAGUCUGCGGCAAACGGCUUUUCAUCUCCUGAAAAGCACUUUUGUACAUGCAUGCAGGGAUUCAGUCAAAACACAUGCUGAUACCUAAGAUUGCAUGAAAAUGAUCAUACCACACACAGAUCAUCGAGUGUUUCAAGAAGAAGCAUGAAAGUAACACACGGUAGAGCACUGAGUCUGCGGCAAACGGCUUUUCAUCUCCUGAAAAGCACUUUUGUACAUGCAUGCAGGGAUUCAGUCAAAACACAUGCUGAUACCUAAGAUUGCAUGAAAAUGAUCAUACCACACACAGAUUAUCGAGUGUUUCAAGAAGAAGCAUGAAAGUAACACACGGUAGAGCACUGAGUCUGCGGCAAACGGCUUUUCAUCUCCUGAAAAGCACUUUUGUACAUGCAUGCAGGGAUUCAGUCAAAACACAUGCUGAUACCUAAGAUUGCAUGAAAAUGAUCAUACCACACACAGAUCAUCGAGUGUUUCAAGAAGAAGCAUGAAAGUGACACGCUAGAGCGCUGAGACUGCGGCAAACGGCUUUUCAGCUCCUGAGAAGCACUUUUGUACAUGCAUGCAAGGAUUCAGUCAAAACACAUGCUGAUACCUAAGAUUGCAUGAAAAUGAUCAUACCACACACAGAUUAUCGAGUGUUUCAAGAAGAAGCAUGAAAGUAACACACGGUAGAGCACUGAGUCUGCGGCAAACGGCUUUUCAUCUCCUGAAAAGCACUUUUGUACAUGCAUGCAGGGAUUCAGUCAAAACACAUGCUGAUACCUAAGAUUGCAUGAAAAUGAUCAUACCACACACAGAUCAUCGAGUGUUUCAAGAAGAAGCAUGAAAGUGACACGCUAGAGCGCUGAGACUGCGGCAAACGGCUUUUCAGCUCCUGAGAAGCACUUUUGUACAUGCAUGCAAGGAUUCAGUCAAAACACAUGCUGAUACCUAAGAUUGCAUGAAAAUGAUCAUACCACACACAGAUUAUCGAGUGUUUCAAGAAGAAGCAUGAAAGUAACACACGGUAGAGCACUGAGUCUGCGGCAAACGGCUUUUCAUCUCCUGAAAAGCACUUUUGUACAUGCAUGCAGGGAUUCAGUCAAAACACAUGCUGAUACCUAAGAUUGCAUGAAAAUGAUCAUACCACACACAGAUCAUCGAGUGUUUCAAGAAGAAGCAUGAAAGUAACACACGGUAGAGCACUGAGUCUGCGGCAAACGGCUUUUCAUCUCCUGAAAAGCACUUUUGUACAUGCAUGCAGGGAUUCAGUCAAAACACAUGCUGAUACCUAAGAUUGCAUGAAAAUGAUCAUACCACACACAGAUCAUCGAGUGUUUCAAGAAGAAGCAUGAAAGUAACACACGGUAGAGCACUGAGUCUGCGGCAAACGGCUUUUCAUCUCCUGAAAAGCACUUUUGUACAUGCAUGCAGGGAUUCAGUCAAAACACAUGCUGAUACCUAAGAUUGCAUGAAAAUGAUCAUACCACACACAGAUUAUCGAGUGUUUCAAGAAGAAGCAUGAAAGUAACACACGGUAGAGCACUGAGUCUGCGGCAAACGGCUUUUCAUCUCCUGAAAAGCACUUUUGUACAUGCAUGCAGGGAUUCAGUCAAAACACAUGCUGAUACCUAAGAUUGCAUGAAAAUGAUCAUACCACACACAGAUCAUCGAGUGUUUCAAGAAGAAGCAUGAAAGUAACACGCUAGAGCGCUGAGACUGCGGCAAACGGCUUUUCAGCUCCUCAGAAGCACUUUUGUACAUGCAUGCAAGGAUUCAGUCAAAACACAUGCUGAUACCUAAGAUUGCAUGAAAAUGAUCAUACCACACACAGAUUAUCGAGUGUUUCAAGAAGAAGCAUGAAAGUAACACACGGUAGAGCACUGAGUCUGCGGCAAACGGCUUUUCAUCUCCUGAAAAGCACUUUUGUACAUGCAUGCAGGGAUUCAGUCAAAACACAUGCUGAUACCUAAGAUUGCAUGAAAAUGAUCAUACCACACACAGAUCAUCGAGUGUUUCAAGAAGAAGCAUGAAAGUGACACGCUAGAGCGCUGAGACUGCGGCAAAUGGCUUUUCAGGUCCUGAGAAGCACUUUUGUACAUGCAUGCAAGGAUUCAGUCAAAACACAUGCUGAUACCUAAGAUUGCAUGAAAAUGAUCAUACCACACACAGAUCAUCGAGUGGUUACGAGAAAAAGCAUGAACGUAACGCGCUUGGAGCGCUGAGACUACGGCAAACGGCUUUUCAGCUCCUGAAAAGCACUUUUGUACAUGCAUGCAGGGAUUCAGUCAAAACACAUGCUGAUACGUAAGAUUGCAUGAAAAUGAUCAUACCACACACAGAUUAUCGAGUGUUUCAAGAAGAAGCAUGAAAGUGACACGCUAGAGCGCUGAGACUGCGGCAAACGGCUUUUCAGCUCCUCAGAAGCACUUUUGUACAUGCAUGCAAGGAUUCAGUCAAAACACAUGCUGAUACCUAAGAUUGCAUGAAAAUGAUCAUACCACACACAGAUUAUCGAGUGUUUCAAGAAGAAGCAUGAAAGUAACACACGGUAGAGCACUGAGUCUGCGGCAAACGGCUUUUCAUCUCCUGAAAAGCACUUUUGUACAUGCAUGCAGGGAUUCAGUCAAAACACAUGCUGAUACCUAAGAUUGCAUGAAAAUGAUCAUACCACACACAGAUCAUCGAGUGUUUCAAGAAGAAGCAUGAAAGUGACACGCUAGAGCGCUGAGACUGCGGCAAACGGCUUUUCAUCUCCUGAAAAGCACUUUUGUACAUGCAUGCAGGGAUUCAGUCAAAACACAUGCUGAUACCUAAGAUUGCAUGAAAAUGAUCAUACCACACACAGAUCAUCAGAUUAUCGAGUGUCAAUUUGUGUCUGCCAAUCACCGUGACGUGUGGUGACGACAACGCGCGUAUUCACCAAUGAGGGCGCCCACUGGUGAUUAAAAGGAGCACCUGUGCAGGAGGCGGAAGUUCUCAGGCACGCGGCAUUCUUUUGGUAGUUUGGUGGUUGACUCGUGUGGUUUUGUUUUGCCUUGUACCAUCUUUGUAUUAUGUAUAGUAUGUUGGUUAAGUCUGUGUUCUUUGGUGAGUCAGUGUUUCAUGCCUCAUUCUGGUCGUGUCUCUCUGGGGUUUCCUACCGUCUGUUAUCUGGUUGAUCAAAUGACAGUAUUAAACGGGGAAAGAGAUAGAACAGGUAAGACAUCACGUGAUGUACAUGUGCACGUGCCACUCUUUGUAUUUUUGUUUCUAGUAAGUGUAGUGUAUUUAGGGCGUCUUGGAUGCUGAAGACUUUUCUUUUCGUUUAAUGUGUGGAAUCUUAAAUCUGAACAUUGAUUCAUACUGAGGACAUGUUAAACUAUGAGAAACACAUAUCAUGCCAUCUCAGCAUGUUUUUAUGAUUGAAUAAAAUACAUUUUUACA